This 258-nucleotide ribosomal RNA is filed under the name uncultured Streptomyces sp. Its description in RNAcentral is "partial 16S ribosomal RNA". It matches the Rfam family "Bacterial small subunit ribosomal RNA", at positions 254 to 524 of the family's 1533-position model. Lineage: Bacteria; Bacillati; Actinomycetota; Actinomycetes; Kitasatosporales; Streptomycetaceae. The record is from RNAcentral.
UUUGUAGUUUCGCUCACACGCGACGACGGGUAGCCGGCCUGAGAGGGCGACCGGCCACACUGGGACUGAGACACGGCCCAGACUCCUACGGGAGGCAGCAGUGGGGAAUAUUGCACAAUGGGCGAAAGCCUGAUGCAGCGACGCCGCGUGAGGGAUGACGGCCUUCGGGUUGUAAACCUCUUUCAGCAGGGAAGAAGCGAAAGUGACGGUACCUGCAGAAGAAGCGCCGGCUAACUACGUGCCAGAGGCCGCGGCCGA